AGCAGCCGCGGUAAUUCCAGCUCCAAUAGCGUAUAUUAAAGUUGUUGCAGUUAAAAAGCUCGUAGUUGAAUUUCGGGAUUGACGUGAUGGUCAUGCCUUAAGGGGUAUGAACUGUUACAGUUGAUUUCUCACCUUCUGGAGAAACUUGAUGUCCUUUAUUGGGUGUCUUGCGGAUCCAGGACCUUUACCUUGAAAAAAUUAGAGUUUAAAGCAGGCAUUUUUGCUCGAAUACAUUAGCAUGGAAUAAUAGAAUAGGACGGCAUGGUUCUAUUUUGUUGGUUUCUAGGAUCACCGUAAUGAUUAAUAGGGAUAGUUGGGGGCAUUAGUAUUCAAUUGUCAGAGGUGAAAUUCUUGGAUUUAUUGAAGACUAACUACUGCGAAAGCAUUUGCCAAGGAUGUUUUCAUUAAUCAAGAACGAAAGUUAGGGGAUCGAAGACGAUCAGAUACCGUCGUAGUCUUAACCAUAAACUAUGCCGACUAGGAAUCAGACGAUGUUAAUUUUUAAUGACUCGUUUGGCUA
Molecule: ribosomal RNA, 520 nt
Filed under: uncultured Entrophospora
Lineage: Eukaryota; Fungi; Glomeromycota; Glomeromycetes; Entrophosporales; Entrophosporaceae
Description: SSU rRNA
Rfam family: Eukaryotic small subunit ribosomal RNA
Source: RNAcentral